This 426-nucleotide ribosomal RNA is filed under the name uncultured Actinomycetes bacterium. Its description in RNAcentral is "bacterial SSU rRNA". It matches the Rfam family "Bacterial small subunit ribosomal RNA", at positions 958 to 1385 of the family's 1533-position model. The record is from RNAcentral. Lineage: Bacteria; Bacillati; Actinomycetota; Actinomycetes.
AACGCGAAGAACCUUACCUGGGCUUGACAUGUCUCUGACAGCCGUGGAAACACGGUCUCCCUUCGGGGCAGAGUCACAGGUGGUGCAUGGCUGUCGUCAGCUCGUGUCGUGAGAUGUUGGGUUAAGUCCCGCAACGAGCGCAACCCCCGUCGCAUGUUGCCAGCAUUUAGUUGGGGACUCAUGCGAGACUGCCGGUGACAAACCGGAGGAAGGUGGGGAUGACGUCAAGUCAUCAUGCCCCUUAUGUCCAGGGCUACACACGUGCUACAUUGGCGCGUACAGAGGGUUGCGAUACCGCGAGGUGGAGCGAAUCCCUCAAAGCGCGUCUCGGUUCGGAUUGCAGGCUGAAACUCGCCUGCAUGAAGGCGGAGUUGCUAGUAAUCGCGGAUCAGCACUGCCGCGGUGAAUACGUUCCCGGGCCUUGUA